GACGAACGCUGGCGGCGUGCUUAACACAUGCAAGUCGAACGGAAAGGCCCUGCUUGCAGGGUACUCGAGUGGCGAACGGGUGAGUAACACGUGGGUGAUCUGCCCUGCACUUCGGGAUAAGCCUGGGAAACUGGGUCUAAUACCGGAUAGGAGCCAUUUUUAGUGUGAUGGUUGGAAAGUUUUUUCGGUGUAGGAUGAGCUCGCGGCCUAUCAGCUUGUUGGGGGGGUAAUGGCCUACCAAGGCGGCGACGGGUAGCCGGCCUGAGAGGGUGGACGGCCACAUUGGGACUGAGGUACGGCACAGACUCCUACGGGAGGCAACAGUGGGGAAUAUUGCACAAUGGGCGCAAGCCUGGUGCAGCGGCGCCGCGGGGGGGAGAACGGCCUUCGGGUUGUAGACACCUUUCGCUAGGGACGAAGCUUUUUGUGACGGUACCUAGAGAAGAAGCACCGGCUAACUACGUG
Molecule: ribosomal RNA, 465 nt
Filed under: uncultured bacterium
Lineage: Bacteria
Description: partial 16S ribosomal RNA
Rfam family: Bacterial small subunit ribosomal RNA
Source: RNAcentral